RNAcentral lists this ribosomal RNA (460 nucleotides) under uncultured bacterium. RNAcentral's name for it is "partial 16S ribosomal RNA". It matches the Rfam family "Bacterial small subunit ribosomal RNA", at positions 338 to 795 of the family's 1533-position model. The record is from RNAcentral.
CCUACGGGAGGCUGCAGUGAGGAAUAUUGGUCAAUGGGCGAAAGCCUGAACCAGCAACGUCGCGUGAGGGAUGAAGGUUCUAUGGAUCGUAAACCCCUUUUAUAAGGGAAGAAAGUGAGGGACGUGUCCUGACUUGGAUGUACCUUAUGAAUAAGGAUCGGCUAACCUCGUGCCAGCAGCCGCGGCAAUACGGAGGAUCCGAGCGUUAUCCGGAUUUAUUGGGUGUAAAGGGUGCGUAGGCGGUCUUUUAAGUUAGAGGUGAAAGCAUCCGGCUCAACCCGAGAAGGGCAGUGGAAACUGGGAGGCUUGAGUAUGUUAGAGGCAAGCGGAAUGCGUGGUGUAGCGGUGAAAUGCUUAGAGAUCACGCAGAACCCCGAUGGCGAAGGCAGCCUGCCAGUCCAUAACUGACGCUGAUGCACGAAAGCGUGGGGAUCAAACAGGAUUAGAUACCCUAGUAGUC